UGUGAUCUGUACAUGUGUGGUGGGUGGGUGGAUAUGCAUGCAUGCAUACACAUACACAAACACAUACACUCAC
RNAcentral lists this microRNA precursor (73 nucleotides) under Microtus ochrogaster (prairie vole). RNAcentral describes it as "miRNA (ENSMOCG00000007294.1)". Lineage: Eukaryota; Metazoa; Chordata; Mammalia; Rodentia; Cricetidae. The record is from RNAcentral.